CCCGGGUGUAGUGGUGCACACCUGUCAUCCCAGCAGCUAAGGAGGCUGAGGCCGGAGGAUCACAAGUUGGAGGCCAGCCUCAGCAAUUUAUCAAGGCCCUCAGCCACUUAGAGAGACCCUGUCUCUA
RNAcentral lists this small RNA (127 nucleotides) under Marmota monax (woodchuck). The record is from RNAcentral. Lineage: Eukaryota; Metazoa; Chordata; Mammalia; Rodentia; Sciuridae.